RNAcentral lists this unclassified non-coding RNA (651 nucleotides) under Dactylodendron pinicola. Its description in RNAcentral is "[Arthrographis] pinicola partial contains ITS1, 5.8S rRNA, ITS2". The stretch from base 250 to 403 matches the Rfam family "5.8S ribosomal RNA". The record is from RNAcentral. Lineage: Eukaryota; Fungi; Ascomycota; Eurotiomycetes; Onygenales; Eremascaceae.
GGAAGUAAAAGUCGUAACAAGGUUUCCGUAGGUGAACCUGCGGAAGGAUCAUUACCGUGCCCUGGACGUCGGCAUCACGCGGUACGUCACCGGCCCACCCGUGUCUACUAUACCUGUUGCUUCGGCGGGCCUGCAGCCUCUAGACUGGCUGCUGCCCGGGGGAGGCUUUACUCCUCCAGGCUCGUGCCCGCCGAAGACCCUUUGAACUUCUGACAAAUUGAGGUCUGAGCAAAAUGAUCAAUCAAUCAAAACUUUCAACAAUGGAUCUCUUGGUUCCGACAUCGAUGAAGAACGCAGCGAAAUGCGAUAAGUAAUGUGAAUUGCAGAAUUCCGUGAAUCAUCGAAUCUUUGAACGCACAUUGCGCCCUCUGGUAUUCCGGGGGGCAUGUCUGUCCGAGCGUCAUUGCAACCCUCAAGCACGGCUUGUGUGUUGGGCCCUUUGAGUGUCCCCAGUGGACAGGCCCGAAAAGCAGUGAGCGGUAUCGUGUUGCUGGUGCCUGAGUGUAUGGGGCUUUGUCACACACUUGUACGGCCCGGGCGAUAUCGGCCAGCCGGGGGGAUGGAUUCAUCCGUCUUCCUUUUUUUUUACCAGGUUGACCUCGGAUCAGACAAGGAUACCCGCUGAACUUAAGCAUAUCAAUAAGCGGAGGA